Molecule: RNA transcript, 1158 nt
Organism: Mastomys coucha (southern multimammate mouse)
Lineage: Eukaryota; Metazoa; Chordata; Mammalia; Rodentia; Muridae
Gene name: alpha-enolase pseudogene
Exons: 1
Source: RefSeq, a predicted model, not a curated record
AUGUCUAUUCUCAAGAUCCAUGCCAGAGAGAUCUUUGACUCCUGUGGGAACCCCACUGUUGAGGUAGAUCUGUACACUGCAAGAGAUCUCUUGCAAGCUGUGGUGCCCAGCGGUGUAUCUACUGGCACCUACGAGGCCCCAGAACUCUGAGACAAUAAGAUUUGCUUCAUGGGGAAGGGUGUCUCACAGGCUUUUGAGCACAUCAAUAACAGUAAUGUGCCUGCUCUGGUUAGCAAGAAAGUGAAUGUUGUGGAGCAAAAGAAGAUUGACCAGCUGAUGAUCGAGAUGGACAGCAUCGAGAAUAAAUCUAAAUUUGGUGCAAAUGCCAUCCUGGGAGUGUCCCUGACUGUCUGCAAAGCUGGUGCCGUGGAAAAGGGGGUGCCCUUUUACCGUCACAUUGCUGACUUGGCCGACAACCCUGAAGCCAUCCUUCUGGUCUCAGCUUUCAAUGUGAUCAUCGGAGGUUCAUCAAAGAGAAGUAAGGGAACAAUGCCACCAAUGUAGGUGAUAAGGACUGAUUGGCACCUAACAUCCUGGAGAAGAAAGAGGCACUGGAACUGCUCAAGGCUGCAAUUGCAAAGGCCGGAUACACUGACCAGGUUGUCAUUGGCAUGGAUGUCGGCUGCCUUCGAAUUCUACAGGUCUGGCAAGUAUGACCUGGACUUCCAGUCUCCAGAUGACCCCAGAUGGUUCAUCACACCGGACCAGCUGGCUGACCUGUACACGUCCUUCAUGCAGGACUACCCAGUGGUGUCCAUUGAAGACCCCUUUGACCAGAACGACUGGAUGCUUGGCAGAAGUUCACAGCUAGUACAGGUAUCCAGGUGGGGGAUGACCUCACAGUGACCAAUCCUAAGCUGAUUUGGCAAGGUUGCAGGCUAGAAGUCUUGCAACUGCCUCCUGCUCAAAGUGAACCAGAUUGGCUCUGUGACAGUCUCUCUGCAGGAGUGUAGGCUGGCCUAGUCCAAUUGCUGGGGCAUCAUGAUGUCCCAUCGAUUUGGGGAGACUGAGGAUCUGCAAUGGGGCAGAUCAAGACUGUUGUCCCUUGCUGAUCUGAGUGCCUUAGCCAAGUACAAUCAGAUCUUUAGAAUCAAGGAAGAGCUGGGCAGCAAAACCAAGUUUACUGGAAGGUCAUUCAGGAACCUCCUGGCCAAGUAA